RNAcentral lists this ribosomal RNA (497 nucleotides) under uncultured bacterium. RNAcentral describes it as "partial 16S ribosomal RNA". It matches the Rfam family "Bacterial small subunit ribosomal RNA", at positions 28 to 507 of the family's 1533-position model. The record is from RNAcentral.
GAUGAACGCUGGCGGCGUGCCUAAUACAUGCAAGUCGAGCGAACAGACGAGGCGCUUGCUCCUCUGACGUUAGCGGCGGACGGGUGAGUAACACGUGGAUAACCUACCUAUAAGACUGGGAUAACUUCGGGAAACCGGCGCUAAUACCGGAUAAUAUAUUGAACCGCAUGGUUCAAUAGUGAAAGACGGUUUUGCUGUCACUUCUAGAUGGAUCCGCGCCGCAUUAGCUAGUUGGUAAGGUAACAGCUUACCAAGGCAACGAUGCGUAGCCGAACUGAGAGGGUGGUCGGCCACACUGGAACUGAGACACGGUCCAUACUCCUACGGGAGGCAGCAGUAGGGUAUCUUCCGCAAUGGGCGGGAGCCUGACGGAGCAACGCCGCGUGAGUGAUGAAAGUCUUCGGAUCGGAAAACUCUGUUAUUAGGUAAGAACAAAUGUGUAAGUAACUAUGGACGUCUUGACGGUACCUAAUCAGAAAGCCACGGCUAACUACGUG